Neofelis nebulosa (Clouded leopard) is the source of this 1138-nucleotide long non-coding RNA. RefSeq lists it as uncharacterized. The transcript is spliced from 2 exons. Lineage: Eukaryota; Metazoa; Chordata; Mammalia; Carnivora; Felidae. The record is from RefSeq and is a predicted model, not a curated record.
CAGAUAAGGGGGGAAUGCUGUAUUGAAGAAAGUUUGCUGAAAUGAUGAACUAUGAGUUCUUUUCUGGAGAAAGACAGAAGUGGAGAAACGAGAAGGCUAAAGGAUUUGGAAGAAAUGAGGACUUUGUAUUUAUUGUUGAAAAAAUGUUUAUUUUGGGUGGUGCCUGGGAGGCUCAGUUGGUUGAGCAUUCGACUUCUGCUCAGGUUAUGCUCUCACGGUUCGUGAGUUCAAGCUCUGUGUGGGGCUCUGUGCUGACAGUUCAGAGCCUGGAACUUGUUUCAGAUUCUGUGUCUCCCUCUCUCUCUGCCCCUCCCUCUCUUUCUCUCUCUCAAAUAAAUAAAUACUUUUUUAAAUGUUUAUUUAUUUGAGAGAGAGAGAAAGAGCAUGUGUGCAUGAGUGGGGAAGGGGCAGAGAGAGAGGGGGGGACAGAGGAUCCCAAGCAGGCUCUGUACUGAUGGCACAGAGCCCAACGUGGGGCUCAAACUCACAAACCAUGAGAUCAUGACCUGAGCCCAAGUGAGAUCAUGAUCUGAGCCAAAGCCAGAUGCUUGGCCAACUGAAUCACCCAAGCACCCCAUCAGAUGAAGAUCUCAAUAUCCUCAUAGAAAUAGUCACAGGGCAGGUAAGCCAAGAAGCUCUAUGGAAGGUUUUGCUGCGGAGGAGUUACAGAUCCAGAUGUGACUGGGAGUGUUCGGCUAAAGUGGUGAAGUGAAGGGGACAAAGAUCUAGGGUCCUGCAUGAGUCAUCCAUGUGGAGAAUGAGUCACACAAGGUGACCAAAGUGUUGGAGUGGAGGAAACAUUCUGAUAUGAAAAUUCACUGCACAUCGGGAAGGAUCAAAGAGGCAUGGAGAAGCAUAGUGGGUGGCUUUUAAAGGCCCUGGAAAGGUCAGCUGAGAGGAUCCUUUCUUUUAAGUAUGGCUACCUGGGCUUAGAAAGGGAGGAAGAGAGAGAAAACAGUGUGAGCUCCACCUUCCAGAGAAUCCUUACAUAAAAGGCCACGAGCGAUCCUGUGGUUUCUGAAGAAAAAAAUAUGGCUCACAUUUUCAAAAUCUAGAUUUUUCUGAGAUACAACAGGGGAUAACAGAAUGGCAAGAAUAUUGAAGAGAAUAUUAUCAUAAAUGUCCUGAAACUUUCAAA